UGCCUCUCGAAAUACCAUGAGAGGUCCCUCCUGCCCAGUGAAAAAAUUUUUAACGGCCGCGGUAUCCUAACCGUGCAAAGGUAGCAUAAUCACUUGCCUAUUAAUUGUAGGCUAGAAUGAACGGAUAAACGAAAUAAGCCCUGUCUCAAUUAAAUUAGAUAAAAAUUAUAUUCUAAAUGAAGAUAUUUAGAUAAAAACGAAGGACAAGAAGACCCUAUAGAGCUUUAUAUUUAUUUUUAGAGAAAAAAACUCAAAACAAAUUCGGUUGGGGCGACCAAGGAUAUAAAAAUCAUCCUAUAUUUUAAGAUUUAUAAAUCUCUAUAAAGACCCUUAUUAAAGAUCUUAAGAACAAGCUACCUUAGGGAUAACAGGCUAAUCUCACUAAAGAGUCCUUAUCUACAGUGUGGGUUGGCACCUCGAUGUUGGCUUAGGAUAUCAAUAUGGCGCAAAAGUCAUAAAGUGAUGGUUUGUUCAACCAAUAAUUUCCU
This 488-nucleotide ribosomal RNA is filed under the name Glyphidrilus borealis. Its description in RNAcentral is "partial 16S ribosomal RNA". It matches the Rfam family "Bacterial large subunit ribosomal RNA", at positions 1818 to 2597 of the family's 2925-position model. The record is from RNAcentral. Lineage: Eukaryota; Metazoa; Annelida; Clitellata; Crassiclitellata; Almidae.